This 74-nucleotide transfer RNA is filed under the name Cyema atrum (bobtail snipe eel). RNAcentral's name for it is "tRNA-Lys". It matches the Rfam family "tRNA". Rfam says of the family: Transfer RNA (tRNA) molecules are approximately 80 nucleotides in length. Their secondary structure includes four short double-helical elements and three loops (D, anti-codon, and T loops). Further hydrogen bonds mediate the characteristic L-shaped molecular structure. tRNAs have two regions of fundamental functional importance: the anti-codon, which is responsible for specific mRNA codon recognition, and the 3' end, to which the tRNAs corresponding amino acid is attached (by aminoacyl-tRNA synthetases). tRNAs cope with the degeneracy of the genetic code in two manners: having more than one tRNA (with a specific anti-codon) for a particular amino acid; and 'wobble' base-pairing, i.e. permitting non-standard base-pairing at the 3rd anti-codon position. Lineage: Eukaryota; Metazoa; Chordata; Actinopteri; Anguilliformes; Cyematidae. The record is from RNAcentral.
CACUAUGAAGCUAGAACGGAAAACAGCAUUAGCCUUUUAAGCUAAAGAUCGGUGACUCCAACCACCCUUAGUGA